Molecule: ribosomal RNA, 315 nt
Filed under: uncultured bacterium
Lineage: Bacteria
Description: bacterial SSU rRNA
Rfam family: Bacterial small subunit ribosomal RNA
Source: RNAcentral
GAUGGUCUUGCUAUCACUAAGAGAUGGUCCCGCGGUGUAUUAGUUAGUUGGUGAGGUAAUUGGGCUCACCAAGACAAUGAUACAUAGCCGAGUUGAGAGACUGACCGGCCACAAUGGGACUGAGACACGGCCCCAUACUCCUACGGAGGCAGCAGUAGGGAAUCUUCCACAAUGGACGAAAGUCUGAUGGAGCAACGCCGCGUGUGUGAUGAAGGGUUUCGGCUCGUAAAACACUGUUGUAAGAGAAGAAUGACAUUGAGAGUAACUGUUCAAUGUGUGACGGUAUCUUACCAGAAAGGAACGGCUAAAUACGUG